This 433-nucleotide ribosomal RNA is filed under the name uncultured Ruminococcus sp. Its description in RNAcentral is "bacterial SSU rRNA". It matches the Rfam family "Bacterial small subunit ribosomal RNA", at positions 341 to 792 of the family's 1533-position model. Lineage: Bacteria; Bacillati; Bacillota; Clostridia; Eubacteriales; Oscillospiraceae. The record is from RNAcentral.
ACGGGAGGCAGCAGUGGGGAAUAUUGCACAAUGGGCGCAAGCCUGAUGCAGCGAUGCCGCGUGAGGGAAGAAGGUUUUCGGAUUGUAAACCUCUGUCAUCGGGGACGAUAAUGACUGUACCCGAGAAGGAAGCUCCGGCUAACUACGUGCCAGCAGCCGCGGUAAUACGUAGGGAGCGAGCGUUAUCCGGAAUUACUGGGUGUAAAGGAGUGUAGGCGGGACUGUAAGUCAGAUGUGAAAUAUGCCGGCUCAACUGGCAGACUGCAUUUGAAACUGCGGUUCUUGAGUGAAGUAGAGGUAAGCGGAAUUCCUAGUGUAGCGGUGAAAUGCGUAGAUAUUAGGAGGAACAUCAGUGGCGAAGGCGGCUUACUGGGCUUUAACUGACGCUGAGGCUCGAAAGCGUGGGGAGCAAACAGGAUUAGAUACCCUGGUA